GACGAACGCUGGCGGCGUGCUUAACACAUGCAAGUCGAACGGAAAGGCCCUGCUUUUGUGGGGUGCUCGAGUGGCGAACGGGUGAGUAACACGUGAGUAACCUGCCCUUGACUUUGGGAUAACUCCAGGAAACUGGGGCUAAUACCGGAUAGGAGCUCCUGCUGCAUGGGGGGGGUUGGAAAGUUUCGGCGGUUGGGGAUGGACUCGCGGCUUAUCAGCUUGUUGGUGGGGUAGUGGCUUACCAAGGCUUUGACGGGUAGCCGGCCUGAGAGGGUGACCGGCCACAUUGGGACUGAGAUACGGCCCAGACUCCUACGGGAGGCAGCAGUGGGGAAUAUUGCACAAUGGGCGGAAGCCUGAUGCAGCAACGCCGCGUGCGGGAUGACGGCCUUCGGGUUGUAAACCGCUUUCGCCUGUGACGAAGCGUGAGUGACGGUAAUGGGUAAAGAAGCACCGGCUAACUACGUG
RNAcentral lists this ribosomal RNA (468 nucleotides) under uncultured bacterium. RNAcentral describes it as "partial 16S ribosomal RNA". It matches the Rfam family "Bacterial small subunit ribosomal RNA", at positions 28 to 507 of the family's 1533-position model. The record is from RNAcentral.